GGGCAUAUAACUCAGCGGUAGAGUGCUGUCUUCACACGGCAGAAGUCACAGGUUCAAAUCCUGUUAUGCCCACCA
This 75-nucleotide transfer RNA is filed under the name Pseudomonadota bacterium. RNAcentral describes it as "tRNA-Val". It matches the Rfam family "tRNA". Rfam says of the family: Transfer RNA (tRNA) molecules are approximately 80 nucleotides in length. Their secondary structure includes four short double-helical elements and three loops (D, anti-codon, and T loops). RNAcentral also lists the same sequence under 2 other names. The record is from RNAcentral. Lineage: Bacteria; Pseudomonadati; Pseudomonadota.